GUGUCAGCCGCCGCGGUAAUACGUAGGUGGCAAGCGUUGUCCGGAUUUAUUGGGCGUAAAGCGAGCGCAGGCGGUUUCUUAAGUCUGAUGUGAAAGCCCCCGGCUCAACCGGGGAGGGUCAUUGGAAACUGGGAGACUUGAGUGCAGAAGAGGAGAGUGGAGUUCCAUGUGUAGUGGUGAAAUGCGUAGAUAUAUGGAGGAACACCAGUGGCGAAGGCGACUCUCUGGUCUGUAACUGACGCUGAGGAGCGAAAGCGUGGGGAGCGAACAGGAUUAGAAACCCUUGUAGUCC
This 292-nucleotide ribosomal RNA is filed under the name uncultured prokaryote. Its description in RNAcentral is "partial 16S ribosomal RNA". It matches the Rfam family "Bacterial small subunit ribosomal RNA", at positions 505 to 796 of the family's 1533-position model. The record is from RNAcentral.